Molecule: unclassified non-coding RNA, 309 nt
Filed under: uncultured Gymnoascus
Lineage: Eukaryota; Fungi; Ascomycota; Eurotiomycetes; Onygenales; Gymnoascaceae
Description: sequence contains ITS1
Rfam family: 5.8S ribosomal RNA (bases 1-105)
Source: RNAcentral
GAAAUGCGAUAAGUAAUGUGAAUUGCAGAAUUCAGUGAAUCAUCGAAUCUUUGAACGCACCUUGCGCUCCUUGGUAUUCCGAGGAGCAUGCCUGUCCGAGCGUCAUUGCAACCCUCAAGCCCGGCUUGUGUGAUGGGUCGCCGUCCCCCGUGGACGGGCCCGAAAGGCAGUGGCGGCGUCGCGGUUAUCCGAUCGCCUGGUGUAUGGGGCUCUGUCACGCACCACGGCCUGGACCGGCGCCCGCCGACUCUCAACUACUUUCUUAGGUUGACCUCGGAUCAGGUAGGGAUACCCGCAUCGAUGAAGAAC